CCUACGGGAGGCAGCAGUGGGGAAUAUUGCACAAUGGGGGAAACCCUGAUGCAGCGCCGCCGCGUGAGUGAAGAAGUAUUUCGGUAUGUAAAGCUCUAUCAGCAGGGAAGAAAAUGACGGUACCUGACCAAGAAGCCCCGGCUAACUACGUGCCAGCAGCCGCGGUAAUACGUAGGGGGCAAGCGUUAUCCGGAUUUACUGGGUGUAAAGGGAGCGUAGACGGUUGUGCAAGUCAGAAGUGAAAGCCCGGGGCUCAACUCCGGGACUGCUUUUGAAACUGUGAAACUGGAGUGCAGGAGAGGUAAGCGGAAUUCCGGGUGUAGCGGUGAAAUGCGUAGAUAUCAGGAGGAACACCAGUGGCGAAGGCGGCUUACUGGACUGUAACUGACGUUGAGGCUCGAAAGCGUGGGGAGCAAACAGGAUUAGAGACCCUUGUAGUC
Molecule: ribosomal RNA, 440 nt
Filed under: uncultured bacterium
Lineage: Bacteria
Description: partial 16S ribosomal RNA
Rfam family: Bacterial small subunit ribosomal RNA
Source: RNAcentral